RNAcentral lists this ribosomal RNA (671 nucleotides) under Triticum aestivum (bread wheat). RNAcentral's name for it is "partial small subunit ribosomal RNA". Lineage: Eukaryota; Viridiplantae; Streptophyta; Magnoliopsida; Poales; Poaceae. The record is from RNAcentral.
AUUAUUUUUGUCAAGAAGCUUGCAUCAUCAUUUUGACCUGACCAGCAAAAGCAAUUUGAGAAUGAGGUUUAUCAUCUUCUGAUGCUCAAAGACCUCAAUAUAGUGCGUCUUUUAGGGUAUUGCCAUGAAACACGAAAUGUGUGUUUGUACAGUGUGAAAUCCAUUUUUGCAUAGGUCACCAAAAGGUUACUUUGCCUGGAGUACCUUCCCAAGGGAAGGCUUGAUAAGUAUUUGUCAGAUGAAUCUUGUGGAAUUGAUUGGAGCACACGCUGCAAUAUAAUCUAGGGGAUUUGCUAUGGCUUAUGUCACCUCCAUGAGAAUCUUGUUAAGCCUAUCAUUCACCUGGCCUUAAAACCUGCCAACAUAUUGCUCGAUGAAGCUAUGGUGCCAAAAAUCGUAGACUUUGGUCUCUCAAGACUAAUUGAUCAACAAACUAUCUGCACUUCCUCUCUUGAUGGAACAUUGUACUUAAUAAAUGGAGAAAUGUGUUACAGAGAGCAUUGAAUUACAGGACCUUAUAAAUAGAUUGUGAACAAAUAAAGAGAUGCCUCUAUUUAGGUAUAAUCCGUGUAAAUCUUGGCCGUACCACAAGGCCUCCGAUAACAAGGGUUAUCAGUAUGAUCCAAGGAUCUGAAAGUAUUGACUGCGGCUUUUUCAGCGAGCCAGCGUAA